Molecule: ribosomal RNA, 1331 nt
Filed under: Lactiplantibacillus plantarum
Lineage: Bacteria; Bacillati; Bacillota; Bacilli; Lactobacillales; Lactobacillaceae
Description: bacterial SSU rRNA
Rfam family: Bacterial small subunit ribosomal RNA
Source: RNAcentral
GGUGCUUGCAUCAUGAUUUACAUUUGAGUGAGUGGCGAACUGGUGAGUAACACGUGGGAAACCUGCCCAGAAGCGGGGGAUAACACCUGGAAACAGAUGCUAAUACCGCAUAACAACUUGGACCGCAUGGUCCGAGUUUGAAAGAUGGCUUCGGCUAUCACUUUUGGAUGGUCCCGCGGCGUAUUAGCUAGAUGGUGAGGUAACGGCUCACCAUGGCAAUGAUACGUAGCCGACCUGAGAGGGUAAUCGGCCACAUUGGGACUGAGACACGGCCCAAACUCCUACGGGAGGCAGCAGUAGGGAAUCUUCCACAAUGGACGAAAGUCUGAUGGAGCAACGCCGCGUGAGUGAAGAAGGGUUUCGGCUCGUAAAACUCUGUUGUUAAAGAAGAACAUAUCUGAGAGUAACUGUUCAGGUAUUGACGGUAUUUAACCAGAAAGCCACGGCUAACUACGUGCCAGCAGCCGCGGUAAUACGUAGGUGGCAAGCGUUGUCCGGAUUUAUUGGGCGUAAAGCGAGCGCAGGCGGUUUUUUAAGUCUGAUGUGAAAGCCUUCGGCUCAACCGAAGAAGUGCAUCGGAAACUGGGAAACUUGAGUGCAGAAGAGGACAGUGGAACUCCAUGUGUAGCGGUGAAAUGCGUAGAUAUAUGGAAGAACACCAGUGGCGAAGGCGGCUGUCUGGUCUGUAACUGACGCUGAGGCUCGAAAGUAUGGGUAGCAAACAGGAUUAGAUACCCUGGUAGUCCAUACCGUAAACGAUGAAUGCUAAGUGUUGGAGGGUUUCCGCCCUUCAGUGCUGCAGCUAACGCAUUAAGCAUUCCGCCUGGGGAGUACGGCCGCAAGGCUGAAACUCAAAGGAAUUGACGGGGGCCCGCACAAGCGGUGGAGCAUGUGGUUUAAUUCGAAGCUACGCGAAGAACCUUACCAGGUCUUGACAUACUAUGCAAAUCUAAGAGAUUAGACGUUCCCUUCGGGGACAUGGAUACAGGUGGUGCAUGGUUGUCGUCAGCUCGUGUCGUGAGAUGUUGGGUUAAGUCCCGCAACGAGCGCAACCCUUAUUAUCAGUUGCCAGCAUUAAGUUGGGCACUCUGGUGAGACUGCCGGUGACAAACCGGAGGAAGGUGGGGAUGACGUCAAAUCAUCAUGCCCCUUAUGACCUGGGCUACACACGUGCUACAAUGGAUGGUACAACGAGUUGCGAACUCGCGAGAGUAAGCUAAUCUCUUAAAGCCAUUCUCAGUUCGGAUUGUAGGCUGCAACUCGCCUACAUGAAGUCGGAAUCGCUAGUAAUCGCGGAUCAGCAUGCCGCGGUGAAUACGUUCCCGGGCCUU